CUUGACAAGGACGAGUCAAUCGACUGCGAUCCGAGGCCAAGAUGUGGUGGUCGAUUGUCCCCUCUACUGCUCUGACUAUUGGCUUUCUUUUUAUCCCUGCAACACUAGUUGAUAAAUUAUUUCGAGUUAUUCGAUAUAACGAUAAGUCAGUACAAAGAGAUACAUUUGUACCUGAAGACUACACCAUGAGUCACAGAGAUUACUAUAUUAUGGGAAGCAGAUAUGUUCGUAGGGGCAUGGAUUUUAUCCCAGAGGUUGAGUGAAGAGAAGAAUAUUGAGAGGAGACUGAAAUGUUUUUUUCUUAAGAAAUGUUUUGAUGUUAUAGACUUAUUGUAAUAAACAAUUUCCUACAUUA
Molecule: long non-coding RNA, 355 nt
Organism: Saccostrea cuccullata (small rock oyster)
Lineage: Eukaryota; Metazoa; Mollusca; Bivalvia; Ostreida; Ostreidae
Exons: 3
Source: RefSeq, a predicted model, not a curated record